Molecule: long non-coding RNA, 590 nt
Organism: Scatophagus argus
Lineage: Eukaryota; Metazoa; Chordata; Actinopteri; Scatophagidae
Exons: 2
Source: RefSeq, a predicted model, not a curated record
CCACCUGUCUGGACCUCAGCCCGGCCACCUUCACCUGGACAGGCUCAUCGAACAAACAUCUGGCGCUUGGCAGCAGCAUCAGUCUGACUUGGGAGGACAUCUCUUCACAAACUAAUGAUCCUGUAACAAAGCAAACAGGAAUGAGAUGUAAGUUUGGUCCAUGAUGUCGUUUUAGAUUUGUCAUCUGCUCUGUGUGGGAGCUGGACUGCAGAGUCCAGUCGCUGAGGACCGCAAAGUAAUCAGGAUGAUCUGUUCAGGCGUAAUCGUGCAGCCGAGUGCGAGUCUUUCCUCCUCAGGAGACGGCAGUGAAACAGGAGUGACUCGCUGUUCAAAUCCACGUAAAGAGAAACAGAGUGCCAACGUGCUCGAAGGAGAAGGUCGCCAAAUGAAUCACAUCAACGGCUCCGCUUACCUGAAUCCACCUACAACUUCAUCUGUGAAGUGAGAGUUAGGUGGAGUUAGGAUGGAUCACAGCACGGAUGUAAAGGGACAAAAAUAAAGACCUUUCAAUAAUCUUAGCAUUUUAUGCACAAAAUCUGAUCGUAUCUGUCCUUGUCCAUUUCAAAUUAAAAGCCUUCCUGUGGAUAGAA